GACUGAUUUGAUGCUUGCAUCAUUGAAAGUUGAGCGGCGGACGGGUGAGUAACGCGUGGGUAACCUGCCCUAUACACAUGGAUAACAUACUGAAAAGUUUACUAAUACAUGAUAAUGUAUAUUUACGGCAUCGUAGGUAUACCAAAGUGUUAGCGGUAUAGGAUGGACCCGCGUCUGAUUAGCUAGUUGGUGAGAUAACUGCCCACCAAGGCGACGAUCAGUAGCCGACCUGAGAGGGUGAUCGGCCACAUUGGAACUGAGACACGGUCCAAACUCCUACGGGAGGCAGCAGUGGGGAAUAUUGCACAAUGGGCGCAAGCCUGAUGCAGCAACGCCGCGUGAACGAUGAAGGUCUUCGGAUCGUAAAGUUCUGUUGCAGGGGAAGAUAAUGACGGUACCCUGUGAGGAAGCCCCGGCUAACUACGUGCCAGCAGCCGCGGUAAUACGUAGGGGGCUAGCGUUAUCCGGAUUUACUGGGCGUAAAGGGUGCGUAGGUGGUCUUUCAAGUCGGUGGUUAAAGGCUACGGCUCAACCGUAGUUAGCCUCCGAAACUGGAAGACUUGAGUGCAGGAGAGGAAAGUGGAAUUCCCAGUGUAGCGGUGAAAUGCGUAGAUAUUGGGAGGAACACCAGUAGCGAAGGCGGCUUUCUGGACUGCAACUGACACUGAGGCACGAAAGCGUGGGUAGCAAACAGGAUUAGAUACCCUGGUAGUCCACGCUGUAAACGAUGAGUA
RNAcentral lists this ribosomal RNA (734 nucleotides) under uncultured bacterium. RNAcentral's name for it is "bacterial SSU rRNA". It matches the Rfam family "Bacterial small subunit ribosomal RNA", at positions 65 to 815 of the family's 1533-position model. The record is from RNAcentral.